RNAcentral lists this ribosomal RNA (1713 nucleotides) under Shigella sonnei. Its description in RNAcentral is "partial 23S ribosomal RNA". It matches the Rfam family "Bacterial large subunit ribosomal RNA", at positions 1244 to 2925 of the family's 2925-position model. The record is from RNAcentral. Lineage: Bacteria; Pseudomonadati; Pseudomonadota; Gammaproteobacteria; Enterobacterales; Enterobacteriaceae.
AAGCCUGCGAAGGUGUGCUGUGAGGCAUGCUGGAGGUAUCAGAAGUGCGAAUGCUGACAUAAGUAACGAUAAAGCGGGUGAAAAGCCCGCUCGCCGGAAGACCAAGGGUUCCUGUCCAACGUUAAUCGGGGCAGGGUGAGUCGACCCCUAAGGCGAGGCCGAAAGGCGUAGUCGAUGGGAAACAGGUUAAUAUUCCUGUACUUGGUGUUACUGCGAAGGGGGGACGGAGAAGGCUAUGUUGGCCGGGCGACGGUUGUCCCGGUUUAAGCGUGUAGGCUGGUUUUCCAGGCAAAUCCGGAAAAUCAAGGCUGAGGCGUGAUGACGAGGCACUACGGUGCUGAAGCAACAAAUGCCCUGCUUCCAGGAAAAGCCUCUAAGCAUCAGGUAACAUCAAAUCGUACCCCAAACCGACACAGGUGGUCAGGUAGAGAAUACCAAGGCGCUUGAGAGAACUCGGGUGAAGGAACUAGGCAAAAUGGUGCCGUAACUUCGGGAGAAGGCACGCUGAUAUGUAGGUGAAGUCCCUUGCGGAUGGAGCUGAAAUCAGUCGAAGAUACCAGCUGGCUGCAACUGUUUAUUAAAAACACAGCACUGUGCAAACACGAAAGUGGACGUAUACGGUGUGACGCCUGCCCGGUGCCGGAAGGUUAAUUGAUGGGGUCAGCGCAAGCGAAGCUCUUGAUCGAAGCCCCGGUAAACGGCGGCCGUAACUAUAACGGUCCUAAGGUAGCGAAAUUCCUUGUCGGGUAAGUUCCGACCUGCACGAAUGGCGUAAUGAUGGCCAGGCUGUCUCCACCCGAGACUCAGUGAAAUUGAACUCGCUGUGAAGAUGCAGUGUACCCGCGGCAAGACGGAAAGACCCCGUGAACCUUUACUAUAGCUUGACACUGAACAUUGAGCCUUGAUGUGUAGGAUAGGUGGGAGGCUUUGAAGUGUGGACGCCAGUCUGCAUGGAGCCGGCCUUGAAAUACCACCCUUUAAUGUUUGAUGUUCUAACGUGGACCCGUGAUCCGGGUUGCGGACAGUGUCUGGUGGGUAGUUUGACUGGGGCGGUCUCCUCCUAAAGAGUAACGGAGGAGCACGAAGGUUGGCUAAUCCUGGUCGGACAUCAGGAGGUUAGUGCAAUGGCAUAAGCCAGCUUGACUGCGAGCGUGACGGCGCGAGCAGGUGCGAAAGCAGGUCAUAGUGAUCCGGUGGUUCUGAAUGGAAGGGCCAUCGCUCAACGGAUAAAAGGUACUCCGGGGAUAACAGGCUGAUACCGCCCAAGAGUUCAUAUCGACGGCGGUGUUUGGCACCUCGAUGUCGGCUCAUCACAUCCUGGGGCUGAAGUAGGUCCCAAGGGUAUGGCUGUUCGCCAUUUAAAGUGGUACGCGAGCUGGGUUUAGAACGUCGUGAGACAGUUCGGUCCCUAUCUGCCGUGGGCGCUGGAGAACUGAGGGGGGCUGCUCCUAGUACGAGAGGACCGGAGUGGACGCAUCACUGGUGUUCGGGUUGUCAUGCCAAUGGCACUGCCCGGUAGCUAAAUGCGGAAGAGAUAAGUGCUGAAAGCAUCUAAGCACGAAACUUGCCCCGAGAUGAGUUCUCCCUGACCCUUUAAGGGUCCUGAAGGAACGUUGAAGACGACGACGUUGAUAGGCCGGGUGUGUAAGCGCAGCGAUGCGUUGAGCUAACCGGUACUAAUGAACCGUGAGGCUUAACCUUACAACGCCGAAG